RNAcentral lists this ribosomal RNA (450 nucleotides) under uncultured bacterium. Its description in RNAcentral is "bacterial SSU rRNA". It matches the Rfam family "Bacterial small subunit ribosomal RNA", at positions 328 to 794 of the family's 1533-position model. The record is from RNAcentral.
CGCCCAGACUCCUACGGGAGGCAGCAGUGGGGAAUAUUGCACAAUGGGGGAAACCCUGAUGCAGCGACGCCGCGUGAGCGAUGAAGUAUUUCGGUAUGUAAAGCUCUAUCAGCAGGGAAGAAGAUGACGGUACCUGACUAAGAAGCCCCGGCUAACUACGUGCCAGCAGCCGCGGUAAUACGUAGGGGGCAAGCGUUAUCCGGAUUUACUGGGUGUAAAGGGAGCGUAGGCGGCGAUGCAAGCCAGAUGUGAAAGCCCGGGGCUCAACCCCGGGACUGCAUUUGGAACUGUGUGGCUGGAGUGUCGGAGAGGCAGGCGGAAUUCCUAGUGUAGCGGUGAAAUGCGUAGAUAUUAGGAGGAACACCAGUGGCGAAGGCGGCCUGCUGGACGAUGACUGACGUUGAGGCUCGAAAGCGUGGGGAGCAAACAGGAUUAGAUACCCCAGUACGA